GACGAACGCUGGCGGCGUGCCUAAUACAUGCAAGUCGAGCGAACCGACGGGAGCUUGCUCCCUUAGGUUAGCGGCGGACGGGUGAGUAACACGUGGGUAACCUGCCUGUAAGACUGGGAUAACUCCGGGAAACCGGGGCUAAUACCGGAUGCUUGAUUGAACCGCAUGGUUCAAUUAUAAAAGGUGGCUUUUAGCUACCACUUACAGAUGGACCCGCGGCGCAUUAGCUAGUUGGUGAGGUAACGGCUCACCAAGGCGACGAUGCGUAGCCGACCUGAGAGGGUGAUCGGCCACACUGGGACUGAGACACGGCCCAGACUCCUACGGGAGGCAGCAGUAGGGAAUCUUCCGCAAUGGACGAAAGUCUGACGGAGCAACGCCGCGUGAGUGAUGAAGGUUUUCGGAUCGUAAAACUCUGUUGUUAGGGAAGAACAAGUAUCGUUCGAACAGGGCGGUACCUUGACGGUACCUAACCAGAAAGCCACGGCUAACUACGUGCCAGCAGCCGCGGUAAUACGUAGGUGGCAAGCGUUGUCCGGAAUUAUUGGGCGUAAAGCGCGCGCAGGCGGUUUCUUAAGUCUGAUGUGAAAGCCCCCGGCUCAACCGGGGAGGGCCAUUGGAAACUGGGGAACUUGAGUGCAGAAGAGGAGAGUGGAAUUCCACGUGUAGCGGUGAAAUGCGUAGAGAUGUGGAGGAACACCAGUGGCGAAGGCGACUCUCUGGUCUGUAACUGACGCUGAGGCGCGAAAGCGUGGGGAGCGAACAGGAUUAGAUACCCUGGUAGUCCACGCCGUAAACGAUGAGUGCUAAGUGUUAGAGGGUUUCCGCCCUUUAGUGCUGCAGCAAACGCAUUAAGCACUCCGCCUGGGGAGUACGGUCGCAAGACUGAAACUCAAAGGAAUUGACGGGGGCCCGCACAAGCGGUGGAGCAUGUGGUUU
RNAcentral lists this ribosomal RNA (939 nucleotides) under Bacillus sonorensis. RNAcentral describes it as "bacterial SSU rRNA". It matches the Rfam family "Bacterial small subunit ribosomal RNA", at positions 28 to 947 of the family's 1533-position model. The record is from RNAcentral. Lineage: Bacteria; Bacillati; Bacillota; Bacilli; Caryophanales; Bacillaceae.